RNAcentral lists this ribosomal RNA (497 nucleotides) under uncultured bacterium. RNAcentral's name for it is "partial 16S ribosomal RNA". It matches the Rfam family "Bacterial small subunit ribosomal RNA", at positions 28 to 507 of the family's 1533-position model. The record is from RNAcentral.
GAUGAACGCUGGCGGCGUGCCUAAUACAUGCAAGUCGAGCGAACGGACGAGAAGCUUGCUUUUCUGAUGUUAGCGGCGGACGGGUGAGUAACACGUGGAUAACCUACCUAUAAGACUGGGAUAACUUCGGGAAACCGGAGCUAAUACCGGAUAAUAUUUUGAACCGCAUGGUUCAAAAGUGAAAGACGGUCUUGCUGUCACUUAUAGAUGGAUCCGCGCUGCAUUAGCUAGUUGGUAAGGUAACGGCUUACCAAGGCAACGAUGCAUAGCCGACCUGAGAGGGUGAUCAGCCACACUGGAACUGAGACACGGUCCAGACUCCUACGGGAGGCAGCAGUAGGGAAUCUUCCGCAAUGGGCGAAAGCCUGACGGAGCAACGCCGCGUGAGUGAUGAAGGUCUUCGGAUCGUAAAACUCUGUUAUUAGGGAUGAACAUAUGUGUAAGUAACUGUGCACAUCUUGACGGUACCUAAUCAGAAAGCCACGGCUAACUACGUG